AGAUUGAACGCUGGCGGCAUGCCUAACACAUGCAAGUCGAACGGGAGUAGCAAUACUCUAGUGGCGGACGGGUGAGGAAUACGUAGGAAUUUGCCCUUAAGUGGGGGAUAACCCGGGGAAACCCGGAUUAAUACCGCAUGACCUCGAAAGAGCAAAGUGGGGGAUCGCAAGACCUCACGCUUUUGGAGAAGCCUACGUCGGAUUAGCUAGUUGGUGAGGUAAUGGCUCACCAAGGCGACGAUCCGUAACUGGUCUGAGAGGAUGAUCAGUCACACCGGAACUGAGACACGGUCCGGACUCCUACGGGAGGCAGCAGUGGGGAAUACGUUGGACAAGUGGG
This 340-nucleotide ribosomal RNA is filed under the name uncultured soil bacterium. RNAcentral's name for it is "bacterial SSU rRNA". It matches the Rfam family "Bacterial small subunit ribosomal RNA", at positions 26 to 376 of the family's 1533-position model. The record is from RNAcentral.